Molecule: ribosomal RNA, 916 nt
Filed under: uncultured bacterium
Lineage: Bacteria
Description: bacterial SSU rRNA
Rfam family: Bacterial small subunit ribosomal RNA
Source: RNAcentral
UUGUUGGUAAGGUAAAAGCUUACCAAGGCUUCGAUCAGUAGCUGGUCUGAGAGGACGACCAGCCACACUGGGACUGAGACACGGCCCAGACUCCUACGGGAGGCAGCAGUGGGGAAUUUUGGACAAUGGGGGCAACCCUGAUCCAGCCAUGCCGCGUGAGUGAAGAAGGCCUUCGGGUUGUAAAGCUCUUUCAGCCGGAACGAAACGGUUACGGUUAAUACCCGUGACUACUGACGGUACCGGAAGAAGAAGCACCGGCUAACUACGUGCCAGCAGCCGCGGUAAUACGUAGGGUGCGAGCGUUAAUCGGAAUUACUGGGCGUAAAGCGUGCGCAGGUGGUUUUGUAAGUCAGAUGUGAAAGCCCCGGGCUCAACCUGGGAACUGCGUUUGAAACUACAAGACUAGAGUGUGACAGAGGGGGGUGGAAUUCCGCGUGUAGCAGUGAAAUGUGUAGAGAUGUGGAGGAACACCGAUGGCGAAGGCAGCCCCCUGGGUCAACACUGACGCUCAGGCACGAAAGCAUGGGGAGCAAACAGGAUUAGAUACCCUGGUAGUCCAUGCCCUAAACGAUGUCAACUAGUUGUCGGGCCUUUACGGGCUUGGUAACGUAGCUAACGCGUGAAGUUGACCGCCUGGGGAGUACGAUCGCAAGAUUAAAACUCAAAUGAAUUGACGGGGACCCGCACAAGCGGUGGAUUAUGUGGAUUAAUUCGAUGCAACGCGAAAAACCUUACCUACCCUUGACAUGUAUCGAAGCCCGCAGAAAAGCGGGGGUGCCCGAAAGGGAACGAUAACACAGGUGCUGCAUGGCUGUCGUCAGCUCGUGUCGUGAGAUGUUGGGUUAAGUCCCGCAACGAGCGCAACCCUUGUCAUUAAUUGCCAUCAUUUAGUUGGGCACUUUAAUGAGACUGCCGG